UUACAGUCUGCAUGUUGCAUAUUAAGGAGACAGAGAAGCCAAGAAAGGAGGAGGGAAAAAAUAGGGUUCUCAUGGCAGCAGCAAACUGGAAAGGGGAGUGGGGUGGCAGGGAAUGGAAAGCACAGCAGGCGUAGUCUGUGCCCAGUUAAAAUCUGCACCGAGGUGUGCCGGCUCACACAAAGAGCCAGCGUUGCUUUGUAAUGACCAAAGAAGGUGACCCCGCGUUGUCUCCUUCUAUAGAAUCUUUCUCGUUACCUUUCUACAUACUUUCUCAUUUUCUUCUACUCGUUAUCUUCCAUCUGUCACACCUUUUUAUAAGUCUUAUUCUAUCAUGAAAGUGAGAUUGCUUCACAUUGGGAGCUAUAAGUUUGGCACAGCUGUCAACUAUUUGCAUUGGCAACCGGAUCCUGGGAAGAGUCAGGAUGCUAUUUUAGAACAGAGUCUUCUGAAGCUGUUUCCCAUUCUCAAAAAGUGCUGUUGAAGGAGAAAAAAAAGGUUUAACAGUCUAGAUUACAUACCCAACCCUGUCAGAAUUGGAAAAUUAAAAAUUUAUGGGUUUUUUUCAGGAUAGGUAACUCCCCUAUUCAUUUGUCUCUGGAGAAUCUUUUGUUUCCCUCUCUGCUGCUAAGGAGCUGGCUUGAUGCUGAGAAUAGGCAGAGACGAUAAAGAGGAGAAAAUUGAUCUGUAUGGUAUGGAAAAAUUGAAUCCUGUGUG
RNAcentral lists this long non-coding RNA (714 nucleotides) under Bos taurus (domestic cattle). RNAcentral describes it as "long non-coding RNA NONBTAT015969". The record is from RNAcentral. Lineage: Eukaryota; Metazoa; Chordata; Mammalia; Artiodactyla; Bovidae.